RNAcentral lists this ribosomal RNA (204 nucleotides) under Striatella unipunctata. RNAcentral's name for it is "partial Eukaryotic large subunit ribosomal RNA". It matches the Rfam family "Eukaryotic large subunit ribosomal RNA", at positions 1369 to 1571 of the family's 3401-position model. Lineage: Eukaryota; Bacillariophyta; Striatellaphyceae; Striatellales; Striatellaceae. The record is from RNAcentral.
AUGCCCCGACGAGUAGGCAGGCGUGGAGGUCCGUGACGAAGCCUUGGGGGUGACCCCGGGUAGAACGGCCUCUAGUGCAGAUCUUGGUGGUAGUAGCAAAUACUCAAAUGAGAACUUUGAGGACUGAAGUGGGGAAAGGUUCCGUGUGAACAGCAGUUGGACACGGGUUAGUCGAUCCUAAGCCAUAGGGAAACUCCGUUUUAA